AUAGCAAUUGCAUAGCAGCAUGCUAGAAACACUCAGAACACCCUAGAAACUGCAAUGCCUUGACAACAACCCUAACAUAGUGUCAAUGAAUUUUGCAUAUAGCAUAUACAGUGUGUGUGUGUGUAUGUAUAUCAGGCUCUUAUGCAUGUGUACUUUGGGCUUCCUGCCAUAUUGUCGAAUUGAAAUGUUCUGAUCUGUAGCAUUCUACUCUUCCCACCUGUCCCGAGCCACACUCAAACCCCCAUAGCAAUUGCAUAGCAGCAUGCUAGAAACACUCAGAACACCCUAGAAACUGCAAUGCCUUGACAACAACCCUAACAUAGUGUCAAUGAAUUUUGCAUAUAGCAUAUACAGUGUGUGUGUGUGUGUGUGUAUGUAUAUCAGGCUCUUAUGCAUGUGUACUUUGGGCUUCCUGCCAUAUUGUCGAAUUGAAAUGUUCUGAUCUGUAGCAUUCUACUCUUCCCACCUGUCCCGAGCCGACUUCGCUUCCUGAUUCACCAAACCUGCACGAAUCAUCCCAACCUCAGCACCUUCUCCGUGGGCGAGGGCUGCGCACGCAGAGUUGUAGUGUGCUGUUCAGACCUCAGGUUGCCAGAAGAAGACCAGAGAGAUGUGGAGGGCAGUUCCCAUGGGCGAGCACGCAGUACUCAAAGGGGUUGACCAAACAGUCUAUGGGGUUGACUGACAAAAUGUUUGGGAGUC
Molecule: long non-coding RNA, 702 nt
Filed under: Sinocyclocheilus grahami
Lineage: Eukaryota; Metazoa; Chordata; Actinopteri; Cypriniformes; Cyprinidae
Description: lncRNA (ENSSGRG00000047454.1)
Source: RNAcentral